RNAcentral lists this ribosomal RNA (253 nucleotides) under uncultured bacterium. RNAcentral's name for it is "partial 16S ribosomal RNA". It matches the Rfam family "Bacterial small subunit ribosomal RNA", at positions 524 to 776 of the family's 1533-position model. The record is from RNAcentral.
UACAGAGGUCCCAAGCGUUGUUCGGAUUCAUUGGGCGUAAAGGGUGCGUAGGCGGCUUGUCGCGUCGGCUGUGAAAACCCGCGGCUCAACUGUGGGCGGGCAGCUGAUACGGGCAGGCUGGAGUUCGGUAGGGGAGACUGGAAUUCCUGGUGUAGCGGUGAAAUGCGCAGAUAUCAGGAGGAACACCGGUGGCGAAGGCGGGUCUCUGGGCCGAUACUGACGCUGAGGAGCGAAAGCGUGGGGAGCGAACAGG